This 691-nucleotide ribosomal RNA is filed under the name uncultured bacterium. Its description in RNAcentral is "bacterial SSU rRNA". It matches the Rfam family "Bacterial small subunit ribosomal RNA", at positions 860 to 1498 of the family's 1533-position model. The record is from RNAcentral.
UUAAGCAUCCCGCCUGGGGAGUACGGCCGCAAGGCUAAAACUCAAAGGAAUAGACGGGGACCCGCACAAGCGGUGGAGCAUGUGGUUUAAUUCGACAUUAAGCGAGGAAUCUUACCAAGGUUUGACAUCCGGCUGCAGACUCUGAGAAAUCAGAGAGCCUUAGAGGGUGCCGGACAGAUGCUGCAUGGUUGUCGUCAGCUCGUGUCGUGAGAUGUACCGUUAAGUCGGGAAACGAGCGCAACCCCUGUCCUAUGUUUUACAUGUCAUAGGAGACUGCCCGCUUUAAGUGGGAGGAAGGUGGGGACGACGUCAAAUCAGCAUGGUUCUUACACCUUGGGCGACACACGUGCUACAAUGGGAAGUACAGAGGGACGCUAAGCCGCAAGGCGGAGCAAAUCCCUUAAAACUUUUCUCAGUUCGGAUUGAGGUCUGCAACUCGACCUCAUGAAGUUGGAAUCGCUAGUAAACGCGAAUCAGCCAUGUCGCAUUGAAUACGUUCUCGGGUCUUGUACUCACCGCCCGUCACACCAAGAGAGCCGGCAAUACCCGAAGUCCGGAUUUCAGAUUUCGGAUUUCAGAUUUCGGAUAAUUUUUAUUUAAAUAUUAAAUAAAGAAUCCGAUUUCCGAUAUCUGACAUCUGAUAUCCGGGCGAAGGUAGGGCUAGUGAUAAGGGUGAAGUCGUAACAAGGUA